AUGGCAAUCAGCUUCAGUUGCUCGGCAUGUUCUCAGAAAAGUAGUGCUACAAAGCUGACAUGGUUCUUUGCGCUGCUUCUCAUCCUGGCCACGAUGAUUCAAGUCCGAGCGCAGCCCCCUACCGCUGGGUUCGUAAACAUCGAUUGUGGAUGGACAAACAGCAGUGCCUACAUCGACAACACCACCAGAAUAGUGUACCGUUUCGAUGGUGAAUCUGUCGAGGGCGGUUUGAGCCAUGAAAUUUCGGAGGAGUUCAUGGCUGGCGCAGCAAAUGAGCAACAAAAAACCUUGAGGAGCUUCCCUGACGGCCCAAGGAAUUGCUAUACACUGGCAUCCAUCAUUGGUAAGAAGUAUCUACUGAGGGCCUUGUUCACUUACGGCAAUUAUGACGGGUUGAACAAGACUAUGGACGGGUCACCAUUUCUGUUUGGGCUCCACAUCGGGGUCAAUUUCUGGGAGUCGGUGAACUUGACAAAUACGGAUCCAUCAGACACCGUGUGGAAGGAGGUGAUCACCGUUGCUCCGAGCAACGCCGUGUCCGUCUGCCUGAUAAACUUUGGUUCAGGGACUCCCUUCAUAUCUGCGUUGGAGCUGAGGCCACUAGAAGAUACGAUGUACCCUUUCGUCAAUACUUCUGUGUCAAUCAGCUACUUUCAACGGUUCAGAUUUGGCAACAUCACCGACCCUAUCACAAGAUAUCCAACGGACAAUUAUGACCGGUUCUGGCAGAGGUGGCCCGAUACAUCCUACCCCUGGAUCAACCUGAACACGAACAAUAAAGUGAAGAGCCUCGACAACGUCUUCAACGUGCCGUCGGACAUCUUCCAGAAGGCGUUGACCAUAGACACAAACUACUCCCACAUGAGCAUCAUCGUGGCAACGGGUCGCAAUCAAGAUGGCAAGAGCCUACAGCUUCUCCCAAUCUUUCACUUUGCCGAUAUCAACGAGAGGAACCUGAGCAGGAGGUUCAACAUCUACAACGCCGAAGAUUUAUUGUUCCCAGACUUCUCCCCGCUGCGAUUCCAGAUGGACAGCAAGUACAAGAGCGGGGAGUUCCUGCACGCCGAUGCAUUCUUCAACUUGAGCAAGACACCCAGCUCGAGUCUACCGCCGCUCAUCAACGCUUUGGAGGUGUACUCACUCGUCCGGAUGGAUAAUCUCACCACCGACUCCGCCGAUGACAAGUACAUAAAAGAAGUCAAGACACACUACAAUUUGGCACAAAGAAACUGGAAUGGAGAUCCAUGCUCCCCAAGAGAGUAUUCUUGGGAAGGUUUGACUUGCGACUACUCUAAGAGCAACCAGAAUCCAAGGAUUGUCACAGUAAAUCUGUCUACCAGCAGACUGAGGGGUGGAUUUGCCAUAUCAUUCAUGAACAUGACAUCGCUUGAAAACUUGGAUUUAUCACACAACAAUUUGACGGGAGCUAUUCCAGACUAUCAAUUGAAGUCACUUAAAUUUCUUGACUUGUCAAAUAACAAGCUAGAUGGACCAAUCUCUGACUCUAUUCUUCAAAGAUUUCAGGCCGGAUUGCUGGACUUAAGAUUAGAAGGCAAUCCUGUAUGCUCAAACGUAAAAGAUACGUACUGUUCAAAGAAGAAGAACACCACAUCUACCAUGCUUAUCGCAGUGAUAGUUCCUGUGGUACUGGUAUCCCUCCUAGUAGUGAUGGGCAUACUCUGGAAGUUAUACUGGAAAGGGAAGUCGGGAGAUGAUGAAGAUUCUAUGUAUGAAGAGGAAACUCCACUACAUAUUGAUAUCAGACGGUUCACAUACACAGAACUGAAGCACAUAACAAACGACUUCCAAUCAAUCAUUGGAAAAGGAGGUUUUGGUACUGUUUAUCAUGGCACACUGGAAAAUGACGAUGAAGUAGCUGUUAAGGUGCUUAUGGAGAAAUCAAUAGCAGAGUCAACAGACUUCCUCCCCGAGGUGCAAACCUUGUCGAAAGUUCAUCACAAGAAUCUCGUGACUUUGCAAGGAUAUUGCCAAAACAAGAAAUGCCUAGCACUCGUUUAUGAUUUCAUGCCCAGAGGAAAUCUUCAACAGCUUUUAAGAGGAGGUGACUAUAGUUUGAAUUGGGAACAACGACUCCAUAUUGCACUUGAUGCUGCACAAGGACUGGAGUAUCUACAUGAGUUAUGCACCCCGUCAAUCGUGCACAGAGAUGUCAAGACCCCCAACAUCCUUCUGGACAAGAAUCUGGUGGGAAUAAUAUCUGAUUUUGGGCUUUCGCGGGCUUUUAACGAUGCUCACACGCACAUAUCUACUGCUGCUGCUGCUGGCACUCCUGGGUACAUCGACCCCGAGUACCAUGCAUCUUACCAAAUCACUGUCAAGACAGACGUUUACAGCUUCGGCAUCGUGCUCUUGGAGAUCAUCACCGGACAACCCCCACUAUUAAUGGACCCUCAAACCGUCCACCUACCAAAUUGGGUGCGUCAAAAGAUAGCUAUGGGAAGCAUUCGUGAUGUUGUAGAUAAGAGACUGCUGGAUCAGUAUGAUGCCAGUUCCCUGCAGAGUGUGGUGGACCUUGCCAUGAACUGCGUGGAAAACGCAGCCAUCGACAGGCCAACCAUGACUGUGGUUGCCACGAGGCUCAAAGGGUUGUUGCCAGCGGUUUCAAGUGAAAAGCAGUCUGCUUCUGCGACCCCUCGACGUACCUACUCCAUGGAUAGUGAAAUUCCAAGGCAGUUCCAGCUGAUGAUUUCAGGAGCAAGCAACGAGGGGAGCUCCUUCCAGUCUGGCCAUACCAAUGGGAUGUCACAAAUGAGCCUCUUAUCUGGACGGUGA
RNAcentral lists this ribosomal RNA (2793 nucleotides) under Triticum aestivum (bread wheat). Its description in RNAcentral is "partial small subunit ribosomal RNA". The record is from RNAcentral. Lineage: Eukaryota; Viridiplantae; Streptophyta; Magnoliopsida; Poales; Poaceae.